Molecule: ribosomal RNA, 253 nt
Filed under: uncultured bacterium
Lineage: Bacteria
Description: partial 16S ribosomal RNA
Rfam family: Bacterial small subunit ribosomal RNA
Source: RNAcentral
UACAGAGGUGGCAAGCGUUGUUCGGAAUUACUGGGCGUAAAGGGCGCGUAGGCGGCCUUCUAAGUCAGACGUGAAAUCCCCCGGCUUAACCUGGGAACUGCGUCUGAUACUGGGAGGCUUGAGUAUGGGAGAGGGAUGUAGAAUUCCAGGUGUAGCGGUGAAAUGCGUAGAUAUCAGGAGGAAUACCGAUGGCGAAGGCAGGUCUCUGGGCUGACACUGACGCUCAUGCACGAAAGCGUGGGGAGCAAACAGG